GACGAACGCUGGCGGCGUGCUUAACACAUGCAAGUCGAACGGAAAGGCCCUGCUUUUGUGGGGUGCUCGAGUGGCGAACGGGUGAGUAACACGUGAGUAACCUGCCCUUGACUUUGGGAUAACUUCAGGAAACUGGGGCUAAUACCGGAUAGGAGCUCCUGCUGCAUGGUGGGGGUUGGAAAGUUUCGGCGGUUGGGGAUGGACUCGCGGCUUAUCAGCUUGUUGGUGGGGUAGUGGCUUACCAAGGCUUUGACGGGUAGCCGGCCUGAGAGGGUGACCGGCCACAUUGGGACUGAGAUACGGCCCAGACUCCUACGGGAGGCAGCAGUGGGGAAUAUCGCACAAUGGGCGGAAGCCUGAUGCAGCAACGCCGCGUGCGGGAUGACGGCCUUCGGGUUGUAACCCGCUUUCGCCUGUGACGAAGCGUGAGUGACGGUAAUGGGUAAAGAAGCACCGGCUAACUACGUGCCAGCAGCCGCGGUGAUACGUAGGGUGCGAGCGUUGUCCGGAUUUAUUGGGCGUAAAGGGCUCGUAGGUGGUUGAUCGCGUCGGAAGUGUAAUCUUGGGGCUUAACCCUGAGCGUGCUUUCGAUACGGGUUGACUUGAGGAAGGUAGGGGAGAAUGGAAUUCCUGGUGGAGCGGUGGAAUGCGCAGAUAUCAGGAGGAACACCAGUGGCGAAGGCGGUUCUCUGGGCCUUUCCUGACGCUGAGGAGCGAAAGCGUGGGGAGCGAACAGGCUUAGAUACCCUGGUAGUCCACGCUGUAAACGGUGGGUACUAGGUGUGGGGUCCAUUCCACGGGUUCCGUGCCGUAGCUAACGCUUUAAGUACCCCGCCUGGGGAGUACGGCCGCAAGGCUAAAACUCAAAGGAAUUGACGGGGCCCCGCACAAGCGGCGGAGCAUGCGGAUUAAUUCGAUGCAACGCGUAGAACCUUACCUGGGUUUGACAUGGAUCGGGAGCGCUCAGAGAUGGGUGUGCCUCUUUUGGGGUCGGUUCACAGGUGGUGCAUGGCUGUCGUCAGCUCGUGUCGUGAGAUGUUGGGUUAAGUCCCGCAACGAGCGCAACCCUUGUUCACUGUUGCCAGCACGUUAUGGUGGGGACUCAGUGGAGACCGCCGGGGUCAACUCGGAGGAAGGUGGGGAUGACGUCAAGUCAUCAUGCCCCUUAUGUCCAGGGCUUCACGCAUGCUACAAUGGCUGGUACAGAGAGUGGCGAGCCUGUGAGGGUGAGCGAAUCUCGGAAAGCCGGUCUCAGUUCGGAUUGGGGUCUGCAACUCGACCUCAUGAAGUCGGAGUCGCUAGUAAUCGCAGAUCGGCAACGCUGCGGUGAAUACGUUCCCGGGGCU
This 1346-nucleotide ribosomal RNA is filed under the name uncultured bacterium. Its description in RNAcentral is "bacterial SSU rRNA". It matches the Rfam family "Bacterial small subunit ribosomal RNA", at positions 28 to 1381 of the family's 1533-position model. The record is from RNAcentral.